GGCGCUAAUGCAUGCUUUAAUCACUAGUUACAUAGACUAUUGUAAUGCUCUGCUUUCUGCUCUUCCUAAAAAGAGUAUUUUGGCUCUUUAAUUACUACAAAAUUCAGCUGCAUAUGUCCUGACGAAGACCAGAAGAUGGGCCCACAUUACACCUGUUUGAAGGUCAGUGCAUUGGCUCUCCAUGUGUUUCAGGAUUGAUUUUAAAGUUCUUUUACUAGUUUAUAAAUGCCUUAAUGGUUCUGGGCCUUCUUAUUGAUUUGGUCUGUUUU
This is a long non-coding RNA of Melanotaenia boesemani (Boeseman's rainbowfish), 269 nucleotides long. RefSeq lists it as uncharacterized. NCBI's taxonomy places the organism in Eukaryota, Metazoa, Chordata, Actinopteri, Atheriniformes, Melanotaeniidae. The transcript is spliced from 3 exons. The record is from RefSeq and is a predicted model, not a curated record.